UGUUUAAAGAUUCCAAGCUUUUUAAAACAUUGUUAAAGAUUUAAAGUUUAUAUAUAUCUUAACUUAAAAAGAAGAAAACAAUCGAUGGGUCUGUGUGCUUGAUUUUCAGAUAUAAGCCUUUGAAAACAUGGCGAGAAAUGGCUCUUUCUCGAUUUUUCUUGCUAUUUACAUUGCAUUUAACGCUUACGUCCCUUUUAAAAUAUAAGAGGAAUUACCAAGGAUUUUCAAAUAUGGCUUCUAAAACUAUAUAAACUAAACAUAUGAAAAGAAUUUAUGACACUACAUGGGCUAAAUUAUCACAUUUUUAUGACACUACAUGGAUAAAACCAGAGGACCCUGAAUAUUUAACAUAUUUCUAAAACAAGAGGAGCCAACAUUCUUAAUGUAGACAUUAGUUUUGGAGUCCUCUACACUGUCCGUUUUAUAGCUUUGUCGAUGUUUGUUAAAAUCACAUUCAUCGAUUCGAUUUGGAAUAAAAACUUAACAUUAAAAUAUUUGUGGUAUAAUGCAGAAUAAAACAAUAAAA
Molecule: long non-coding RNA, 526 nt
Filed under: Mytilus galloprovincialis (Mediterranean mussel)
Lineage: Eukaryota; Metazoa; Mollusca; Bivalvia; Mytilida; Mytilidae
Source: RNAcentral